AGAGUUUGAUCCUGGCUCAGAUUGAACGCUGGCGGCAUGCCUUACACAUGCAAGUCGAACGGUAACAGGUCUUCGGAUGCUGACGAGUGGCGAACGGGUGAGUAAUACAUCGGAACGUGCCCGAUCGUGGGGGAUAACGGAGCGAAAGCUUUGCUAAUACCGCAUACGAUCUACGGAUGAAAGCAGGGGACCGCAAGGCCUUGCGCGGACGGAGCGGCCGAUGGCAGAUUAGGUAGUUGGUGGGAUAAAAGCUUACCAAGCCGACGAUCUGUAGCUGGUCUGAGAGGACGACCAGCCACACUGGGACUGAGACACGGCCCAGACUCCUACGGGAGGCAGCAGUGGGGAAUUUUGGACAAUGGGGGCAACCCUGAUCCAGCAAUGCCGCGUGAGUGAAGAAGGCCUUCGGGUUGUAAAGCUCUUUUGUCAGGGAAGAAACGGUGGGGGCUAAUAUCCUCUGCUAAUGACGGUACCUGAAGAAUAAGCACCGGCUAACUACGUGCCAGCAGCCGCGGUAAUACGUAGGGUGCAAGCGUUAAUCGGAAUUACUGGGCGUAAAGCGUGCGCAGGCGGUUAUAUAAGACAGAUGUGAAAUCCCCGGGCUCAACCUGGGAACUGCAUUUGUGACUGUAUAGCUAGAGUACGGCAGAGGGGGAUGGAAUUCCGCGUGUAGCAGUGAAAUGCGUAGAUAUGCGGAGGAACACCGAUGGCGAAGGCAAUCCCCUGGGCCUGUACUGACGCUCAUGCACG
This 750-nucleotide ribosomal RNA is filed under the name uncultured Pseudomonadota bacterium. Its description in RNAcentral is "bacterial SSU rRNA". It matches the Rfam family "Bacterial small subunit ribosomal RNA", at positions 8 to 755 of the family's 1533-position model. Lineage: Bacteria; Pseudomonadati; Pseudomonadota. The record is from RNAcentral.